AGAAUCUUUCUCAAUGGGCGAAAGCCUGAAGGAGCGACGCCGCGUGGGGGAUGAAGGGCUUCGGCCUGUAAACCCCUGUCAUUCGCGAACAAGGUCGGCCAUUUAAAAGAUAGCCGGAUUGAUGGUAGCGAAAGAGGAAGGGACGGCUAACUCUGUUCCAGCAGCCGCGGUAAUACAGAGGUCCCAAGCGUUGUUCGGAUUCACUGGGCGUAAAGGGUGCGUAGGUGGUGGGGUCAGUUCGAUGUGAAAGCUCCGAGCUUAACUCGGAAAUGGCAUUGAAUACUACCCUGCGAGAGGAUUAGAGGGGGGACUGGAAUUCUCGGUGUAGCAGUGAAAUGCGUAGAUAUCGAGAGGAACACCAGCGGCGAAGGCGAGUCCCUGGACAAUUCCUGACGCUGAGGCACGAAAGCUAGGGGAGCA
Molecule: ribosomal RNA, 420 nt
Filed under: uncultured bacterium
Lineage: Bacteria
Description: bacterial SSU rRNA
Rfam family: Bacterial small subunit ribosomal RNA
Source: RNAcentral